RNAcentral lists this ribosomal RNA (432 nucleotides) under uncultured bacterium DGGE band PSBAC-15. RNAcentral's name for it is "bacterial SSU rRNA". It matches the Rfam family "Bacterial small subunit ribosomal RNA", at positions 385 to 835 of the family's 1533-position model. The record is from RNAcentral.
GAUCCAGCCAUGCCGCGUGAGUGAUGAAGGCCCUAGGGUUGUAAAGCUCUUUCGCCAGGGACGAUAAUGACGGUACCUGGAUAAGAAGCCCCGGCUAACUUCGUGCCAGCAGCCGCGGUAAUACGAAGGGGGCUAGCGUUGUUCGGAAUCACUGGGCGUAAAGCGCACGUAGGCGGAUCUUUAAGUCAGGGGUGAAAUCCGAGGCUCAACCUCGGAACUGCCUUUGAUACUGGAGGUCUAGAGUCCGGGAGAGGUGAGUGGAACUGCGAGUGUAGAGGUGAAAUUCGUAGAUGUUCGCAAGAACACCAGUGGCGAAGGCGGCUCACUGGCCCGGAACUGACGCUGAGGUGCGAAAGCCUGGGGAGCAAUCAGGAUUAGAUACCCUGGUAGUCUACGCCGUAAACGAUCCAUGCUAACCGAUCGGGNAGUUCC